AGUGAACGCUGGCGGUAGGCCUAACACAUGCAAGUCGAACGGCAGCACAGUAAGAGCUUGCUCUUACGGGUGGCGAGUGGCGGACGGGUGAGGAAUACAUCGGAAUCUACUUUUUCGUGGGGGAUAACGUAGGGAAACUUACGCUAAUACCGCAUACGACCUACGGGUGAAAGCAGGGGAUCUUCGGACCUUGCGCGAUUGAAUGAGCCGAUGUCGGAUUAGCUAGUUGGCGGGGUAAAGGCCCACCAAGGCGACGAUCCGUAGCUGGUCUGAGAGGAUGACAGGCCACACGGGAACUGAGCACCGGCCCAGCCCCCUAGGGGAGGCAGCGGUGGGGAAUUUUGGACAAGGGGCGAAAGCCUGCUCCAGCCAUACCGGGGGGGUGAAAAAGGCCUUCGGGUUGUAAAGCCUUUUUGUGGGGAAAAAAAAGCAGCAGGUUAAACCCCCGCUGUUCUGACGGUACCCAAAGAAUAAGCACCGGCUAACUUCGU
This 491-nucleotide ribosomal RNA is filed under the name uncultured bacterium. RNAcentral describes it as "partial 16S ribosomal RNA". It matches the Rfam family "Bacterial small subunit ribosomal RNA", at positions 29 to 506 of the family's 1533-position model. The record is from RNAcentral.